This 235-nucleotide ribosomal RNA is filed under the name uncultured bacterium. RNAcentral's name for it is "partial 16S ribosomal RNA". It matches the Rfam family "Bacterial small subunit ribosomal RNA", at positions 529 to 762 of the family's 1533-position model. The record is from RNAcentral.
AGGGGGCAAGCGUUGUCCGGAUUUACGUGGGUGUAAAGGGCGUGUAGGCGGGACUGCAAGUCAGAUGUGAAAAUUAUGGGCUCAACCCAUAACCUGCAUUUGAAACUGUGGUUCUUGAGUGAUGGAGAGGCAGGCGGAAUUCCGUGUGUAGCGGUGAAAUGCGUAGAUAUACGGAGGAACACCAGUGGCGAAGGCGGCCUGCUGGACAUUAACUGACGCUGAGGCGCGAAAGCGU